GUUUUUUGUGUUAAUCUGGGCCAUUUGAUCAAAUUAAUCAAGGGAUCUCAAUCAAUAAACUUCAUUUUAGUUUGAUCCCUAUCAAAUUCUAUCAAUCCCUACCAAUCAAAAUGAAAAAAAAAUACAAAAAAGAAAAAUGAAGAACAAAAAACAAGGAAAAGAUGAUAGAAAACUCUCUCUAUUCACGUGUCUAGAGGGACACGUGUCCGUCCAUCAUUGGAUUCAUAUAUCUUUUUUUUAAAUGAUAUCACCAAUUUUCAGCUAGCUACCACUCUCUCAGCACCCGGAAAAGAAAAGGAAAUGAGUAAAAAAAAUAGGUUUUCUCAAGCCAAG
Molecule: long non-coding RNA, 333 nt
Filed under: Lathyrus oleraceus (garden pea)
Lineage: Eukaryota; Viridiplantae; Streptophyta; Magnoliopsida; Fabales; Fabaceae
Description: Pisum sativum (pea) long non-coding RNA (PSAT_LNC014119)
Source: RNAcentral